UCAGAAGCUCAAAAAUGCUGAAGUGGUUGGAAAAAACAGGCAAAGAGAAGACCUGAAACCAAAUGGGGAUUUCACACUGGGAUGUCAAAUAUUACAACGAUGAGGGGUGUGCUCACAGCACACUCACGUGGUUUUGCUGAAACAGAACAGUGUGGAUGGUAAAGAGAGCCCCAUCUUAGAGGAAGGACCCAUCAGGAGGAAAAUCUCUUGUCUGAUGGAGCAAUCCAUGAUUCUGAGAAGAGAAAGCAUUGCGUUGAUUGUUGCAGAGAGGAACUUGCUCAGCUCAGUGGGGAGGAACCUGGCUCUAGCACUGCUCUCCAGCAGGACCCUGGGGAUUUCUAGACAUGUUUUUGGCCAGACCACUUCUUCUCUCCCAGCCUCCCUCUUUCCUUGGAUCUGUGCCUGCCUCAGAGUUGUGGAAUAACCAGGACUUCAUCCAUUCUGCACCAAUGUGGGCACAAACAACUGCAAAACAGCAGAGUGACAUGGACGAAGGAGGAUUCCCUGAUUCUGGGAUUUCCAGAGGAUGAGACCCCAGUUCACGGCAAACUGAAAUCCUUUGUUUUCUGGGUCCUUUACUGCUGGUCCAUCUAAACUGUGGAUGUUACCAGCAGCUCUAACUGAGCCAGUGUCCUUUCCAAGAUCAGGAUUCUUCCAGUUUCACCCUCCUGGGAACUCAUGUGGGAGUGGAUCAAUGUACACAAAGGUUUUGCAGGGGAAUGUCCUAAAGUCACUUUUGUUUUAUACUCUGAACGUCCAUAAAAUAAUAAAAACAUCUCCAAAAGACAAUAAAUACCUGAAAG
This is a long non-coding RNA of Parus major (Great Tit), 803 nucleotides long. RefSeq lists it as uncharacterized. Lineage: Eukaryota; Metazoa; Chordata; Aves; Passeriformes; Paridae. The transcript is spliced from 4 exons. The record is from RefSeq and is a predicted model, not a curated record.